Molecule: long non-coding RNA, 221 nt
Organism: Carassius auratus (goldfish)
Lineage: Eukaryota; Metazoa; Chordata; Actinopteri; Cypriniformes; Cyprinidae
Exons: 3
Source: RefSeq, a predicted model, not a curated record
UCUCCUCAAAGUUUGGACAUUUGACUAGAAUACAACUUUGAUUCAGCACAGAAUUCAAUAAUCCUGUGGAUGGACCACAGCGAGUCCUUUUGCAGUUAUCCAUCAAAAUGCUUUGCAGACAUAAUGGAAAUGACAUUCACAUUGUAGAGCUUGGACGAAGUUCACACAGGCUCUGCGCAGGAAUUCAUCAAGGACAUGACUGCUGGGAUUACACUUGUGGA